UUGUUAAUAAAAACAUUUAUUUUGCAUUUUAUACAGAACAACCUGAAGUCUGCAUCAUGACUUGACAGUUACCCAGAGGUUUACAGACAGUAUUAUCCAUCUCAACAGUGUGGUUCUGGGGAUUAGGGAUCCACACAAACAGGCAGGAGUUGCAAAGGAGGAAGGGGGCACAGCAGGAGUGUAUUUUAAUCCUUUCUUAAAAAGAAAAGAGCAUUCGGAGUCACUGGAAACCUGUGCACAUGGGGCUUCUACAACAAACACUGUACUGUGAGCUCUUGGGGAAAGGCAGGAUGAGGACCCUGAUAAAUAAAGGGUUAUUUGCUUACGGCAGAGGGUGAUGAGGGAGGUUUACUAGUUUUAACGCCCUCGGCCCUAGUACCUGAUAUUUGAAGGAGAUCAUGUCCAAUCUUAAAUCAUUUCCCUGUUCAGAAAGAGGUGCUAGUUAGUACCCCUGGGAUCAGGCCAUGAAAAUAUCAUGCUGGUCAUUCCCAAGAUCCUAUUCUAUAGCCCACAGCAUUUUAGGAAAAAAAAAAAGAAAAAAAAAGGUCAUAGGAUAGUGGUUUGUAUCCCAGGGAAAAGCUCAGUUCAUGUUAAGCACUGAUAAAGCCAAAUAACUGGCAAAGACCACAGAUCAGACACUGCUAUAUUAUACAACCUGCUGGAAGAGGUCUCUAACAGGGACUGAGGCGGAAGAUAUAGAGCAAUCUUGGCUUGAGGCGCAGCAGGUAUAGAAAACCUGGAAAGAAGUGAGUGUUCAAGUAGUGGGGAGUAGAACACUUCCAGAUCUUAAUUUUAAUAGGCUAAUUUAAAGAAGAGAAAUAAAAAAAUCAAACACUGGGUGCCAGUCACAACAAAUGCCACGACCUUUAUGAUCACCUGGUAGCAUUAAAAAAAAUAAUAAAAUUAAAAAUAAAAAAGCCAAAGCAACCAAUAUAGGUCUUGCCUAGGAAGUGUCUUGUGUGGAUGGGAGAGAUUAAUGGGGCUUGGUACAGCCAACAAUCCAACAUGAUUCCUAUGGAAAUAGAAGGGGCAGAGUCCUGUUUGCUGGCCUAAUAAGAGGUGGGCAGAGUAGAAAACCAAAAGCUCUGAAGUGACUGCAGAUUCUCUGCAACCAGCUUUGACCUAGGGAAAGAGGAGCCAGAUUCUUACUCUGGAAAUGGUGGGGGGAGUGGGGGCAGGCAAACCUAACCCAUACCACAUGCAUUAGUGCUGGUCAUUCUACAGUUGAUGAGCAACUCAAACCAGGCAGGGUAGAGGAGCUGGUUAAGGAAGAAGGGGUUACUUUUCAUCUCUUAAAAUCUUAAUUUAUAUAUUUUAACCUCAAACUUAUCAUCGAUGCCUUAGAUACAAUUUAAUCUUGUCUUUUAAAGCCCCCUGAAACAAAAAGGAUACUUUUUCUGAAGAUCCCUCACUUUCUGGUAGUUUCCUCCCAGUCUUCAGUUUCACCCUGACUUAGAGUCCACAAAUUUCAUCAGACCAUCUGUGCUCAUGGACUUGGGCCUCUCUAGAGGGAAGCCUAAGGCUCAGCUCCAGAUGAGCUAUGCUAAUACACCCAGUGCCCGUGAUACCCUGAACAGGACUGUGUAGUAGUUCAUCUCCGUCAUGCCAUAGUACUGUAAGCACCCCACUGUGAGCAUCCACAUUGGGCCAAGGAUUCUUGGCCUUGCCCUGCUCCAGGAGGACAUGGGGCACAAUCUCGUACAGCUGAGCAACCAGCUUAAACACGGGGUCAUGAGGCAGGCGUUUCAGAGCAAACUCUCUUUUGACAGGUAUCUUGUGGAUCAGUCUUCCUUAGUACUGCAUGGCCAUAGCCUGGGACAACCUGUCCUGAGUUGAGUGUGUUCCAGAUGUAGUCUCAUAACUUCUCAUCUGAUACAUCUUUGCCAACUUCUUUCUGUAGCUGUGUCAGCCAAACAAGCACUUCCUGAUUUGCCUGCCAGUCCAUGUAAGGGCCCUGUCAGCCCAUUCAUGGCUGCUGCAAAGGACAAGUAGGGGUCUGAAAAGGCACUGCCCACCAAAUGGCUGGUAUAAGCAUUUAGACUGCCACCUUCAUGGUCACUGUGGAUGGUGAGGUACAAGGGCAUGAGCUCCGUGAACUGAGCAUCAGUAUAGCCUAACAUGUUCGUGAAAUUGUGGGACCAGUCCAGCUUAGAAUCAAUGGCCCUAAUACUGCUGCCCUACCAGUAGAUUCCAGUAGAUCUUUGCUGCAACACAAGGUAGCUUUGUGAUCAGAUCCAUACAGUCUUCAUAAAUCAACUCCUAGUACUUAGUUCGGAGGACACCCCCUGCAUAUGCUCGGGCAAAGUUACUUUCACUGUUGAGGGCUGUAAUGGCUGCACUAAGCUGAGACAUGGGGUGUAGAUUCAUGGGAAAGUUGUCCAGCAGGUGACCACAUGGGAAGGCAGAGCUGCCCUCUUUGCCCACUCUUUUGAGAGGCAAGUCACCUACCCCUCUGUUGGGAUCUGUCCAAUUACCAGCAGCCAAAAGAAGCCCUCUGGCAGGGGUUCUUUCCCACCCUUAGCCUUGGGCAGCAGUUUCUGGCAUUCAGGGACACUGUAGCCUCAGAAACAGAUGCUCUCAUCAGGAUCAAGAACCAACGUUUCAUACACCAAUCCCUUCAUGCCUCUCACCAUACAUCAUGUCCACAGUGAUUUGGCCCACCACCAUCUUGCCAUGUUGACGCCUGAAAGUCUUAAUUCUGGUUUGCUCCUUAGGUAUCAGGUCAGCCAAAAUGCCUUUCAAGUUCGUGGAAGAAGCGCUGGCAUGCCAGGCAGCAAGAACAAUACAGGAUGCAUUCUUGGCUC
This 2804-nucleotide long non-coding RNA is filed under the name Sus scrofa (pig). RNAcentral's name for it is "lncRNA (ENSSSCG00030048581.1)". Lineage: Eukaryota; Metazoa; Chordata; Mammalia; Artiodactyla; Suidae. The record is from RNAcentral.